UGGGGAAUAUUGCACAAUGGGCGCAAGCCUGAUGCAGCCAUGCCGCGUGUGUGAAGAAGGCCUCGGGUUGUAAAGCACUUUCAGCGAGGAGGAAGGUGGUGAGCUUAAUACGCUCAUCAAUUGACGUUACUCGCAGAAGAAGCACCGGCUAACUCCGUGCCAGCAGCCGCGGUAAUACGGAGGGUGCAAGCGUUAAUCGGAAUUACUGGGCGUAAAGCGCACGCAGGCGGUUUGUUAAGUCAGAUGUGAAAUCCCCGGCUCAACCUGGGAACUGCAUUUGAAACUGGCAAGCUAGAAUCUCGUAGAGGGGGUAGAAUUCCAGGUGGUAGCGGUGCAAAUGCGUAGAGAUCUGGAGGAAUACCGGUGGC
Molecule: ribosomal RNA, 368 nt
Filed under: uncultured bacterium
Lineage: Bacteria
Description: partial 16S ribosomal RNA
Rfam family: Bacterial small subunit ribosomal RNA
Source: RNAcentral